RNAcentral lists this ribosomal RNA (373 nucleotides) under uncultured bacterium. RNAcentral's name for it is "bacterial SSU rRNA". It matches the Rfam family "Bacterial small subunit ribosomal RNA", at positions 521 to 896 of the family's 1533-position model. The record is from RNAcentral.
UAAUACGGAGGGUGCAAGCGUUGUCCGGAUUUAUUGGGUUUAAAGGGUGCGUAGGCGGUCUGGUAAGUCGGCGGUGAAAGCCCGGGGCUCAACCCCGGAACUGCCAUCGAUACUGUCAGACUUGAGUGUGGUUGAGGGUGGCGGAAUGGGCGGUGUAGCGGUGAAAUGCAUAGAUACCGUCCAGAACCCCGAUUGCGAAGGCAGCUGCCUAAGCCACAACUGACGCUGAGGCACGAAAGCGUGGGGAGCAAACAGGAUUAGAUACCCUGGUAGUCCACGCCGUAAACGAUGGAUACUCGCUGUGGGCGAUAGACAGUCCGCGGCUGAGCGAAAGCGCUAAGUAUCCCACCUGGGGAGUACGCCGGCAACGGUG